UUGGCGGAGAAAGAUUCAGACCACCAAAUUUACAAGUUAUUAAGAGUGACUUCCCUUAGCGAAAGAAAUUCUGCAGAAAAAAAGUUGCUGAAAUUGAGUUUUUUCACAAGCUAAUCAUUGAAAGCAUCAGAAGAAAACCAUGGAUGUGUUAGUUGAGUUCAUGCUUUAUCAUAUCCAAGAUCAAAUUAUAUUCGAUUAUGGUCAAAUGGAAGGGGUAGGCUGAGAUCUGCUUGGAUUUUCAAUUUCUAAAUCAUUUGAUGUGACCAAAAGGCAUUUAGUUAACAAAGCAUUUAGGAAGGUCAAAUGGAAGGGGUCGGCUGAAUCUGCUGGGAUUUUAAUUUCUAAAUAAUUUGAUGUGACAAAAGACAUUUAGUUAACAAAGCAUUCAGGAAGUAUAUGCAAAUAAAAGAGGUCCUUACAAUGGCUUCACAAGAAAGGGCUAUCAUUAUGGAAAAAUGUUAUGUCCGGAAAAAGAGUCAAACAAAGAUGCUGGAAAUGUUUGAUAUAGCAUAAGAAACUGUUUUAGCUAUUGUCAGAGAAUGUAAAGGUCAUCACUCUGGACUUGGCAAGCUCAAAAUGCCACAAAAUAUUGUCAGCUAUGAGCUGCAGAGCCUGCAGUCAAACAGUCCUGGAUGCUUUUGAAUAUGUGUCACCUAAGUAAAAUGGACUAUAGCAAAACUAUGGCCAGUGAUAUGAUUUUGAAAAAAUAAAAUUACGGUAUUUUGUUAUAGCGUUAUGGCUUAAGCUAUGACUGUGUCGUAGAAAAUCUGAUUAUUUCUUGUCAGUCGGAGUUACCAUGGCACAAGGAGUAAACUGGAUGGAAGAAGCUUAUAUAUUUUAUAUAUAUGAUACCUAUAAUUGAAUGCAACAUGGAACUUAUAGCAGACUCGCACUGAAUAUCAGCAUUGGGACGAAUAUAAGUCAUUAAUUAGCCAUGGUUCCAAAAUUCUUCAGUGGUACAAGCACCAAAAAUCAAAUACUUUACAUAACACAUUACACUGAAUACAUGUAAAUCACUGGAUUAUUAAGUCAGAGGAACCAUGUAUUGUUAAUCAUCGUACCUUAGAAUUAUAUACCGAUUCUAAUUAAAGGAUGAUAUGAAAAUCAGCCAUUGGUUUAAGAAAAAAAUCUUGUAAGCAGAAAGUUAAUCAUUGCAAAGAAAAUCUUCCCUACAUCUGAAAAUCGGUUACACCAAGUAAUGUGCGAUGUCAAACGGGGAAAUUUGCUUCAGACAUUCUUUUAUAAUUUAAGAUUCAAAGCUUAAAGUUUUGGUUUCAAACCUGGUCUAUGACAAGAUUGGAUAACUAAUAUAGUAAUGAUAAAAGUGUUUUGAAUAGUGUUGUGAAAGGUCAAAGUUAGGAAUUAUGUGAAUUUGUGCAAUUCCGAAUUCAGUGUGCAAAUAUUUUUUUUCGCUAUAUGCGUGUUUUCUUUUCUAGUGUGUGUUAUUCUUAUUGGAUUUAUUAUGAAAGCUGUAUUCAUGGACUGAAAGAAUUCCUGGAUAAUGCUAAGAACAAAUAAAAGACAGUAUGACAUGAAGGCAAUAAAGCAUAUUGCACAUAAUUCCAGCCAGAUUCAUUUGUAGAAUGGGCACAUUCGUUUUUUAUUGGGAGCCAGGUUGACAUUGAUUGCUUCGUCUGUCAGUCAGAGAAAUAGGAAAUCAUAUGAUCUGGUCGGAAACAAAGACUGGAAGUUACUGGAACAAAGGUGAUGGUAAUGGUAGUGACACUGAAUUGUGGCUGCAGUGUUAUCCAAGAUGAAUUUACCCCAUUGUAGAUUGUCUGAAUGGAAAACAAAGGGGUGUACCAACAAAAUCACUACCAUGUGGUUGCAUCUGAUUAUCACUGAAACAGGGACUGUGUGUGAUGUAAUGAAAUUAUAAGACACUCUGCAGUGACGAGAUGUGCAAAAAUAGAGGACAGUUUUCUCCUGUGACUGAACAAAGUCCUGUGACCGAACAACAGUUUCCUACUGUGACCAUAUAAAAUUGUGUGACAGUUUCCUGCCGUGUGACUGUUUCUAACUCUGAUUAAGUGUAAUUUUCCUAAUGUGACACGAUUUUCUAAUGUGACAAAGUAAAAUUUUGUGUGAAAAGCUUUCAAAGUAGACUUGAUAGAUCAACAACAACAACAAUAGCAAACUUUGUGAACAACUUCUUUUUUAAUUGGACACUUAUGCAAAUGAAGAAAAAAACAUUAUUUAUAGUUUUAUUAACUGAAAACAUUAUACCAAAGACUGUAUUAUUACAUUUACAUUAUAUGAAUGGCCCUUGAAACACUUCAAUUAAAACAGGCAGUCCUCUAUAUAUAAUAAAUCAUACACAUAUAA
Ruditapes philippinarum (Manila clam) is the source of this 2325-nucleotide long non-coding RNA. RefSeq lists it as uncharacterized. The transcript has 7 exons. The record is from RefSeq and is a predicted model, not a curated record. NCBI's taxonomy places the organism in Eukaryota, Metazoa, Mollusca, Bivalvia, Venerida, Veneridae.